Molecule: ribosomal RNA, 512 nt
Filed under: uncultured bacterium
Lineage: Bacteria
Description: bacterial SSU rRNA
Rfam family: Bacterial small subunit ribosomal RNA
Source: RNAcentral
CGCUGGCGGCGUGCCUAAUACAUGCAAGUCGAACGGUCUUUCUAUGGAAGCUUGCUUCCACUGAAAAGAUAGUGGCGAACGGGUGAGUAACACGUGGGUAACCUGCCCAUAAGAGGGGGGAUAACAUCCGGAAACGGGUGCUAAUACCGCAUAGUUUUCUUGAUCGCAUGAUCGGGAAAGGAAAGACGGCCUUUGUGCUGUCGCUUAUGGAUGGACCCGCGGCGUAUUAGUUAGUUGGUGAGGUAACGGCUCACCAAGACGAUGAUACGUAGCCGACCUGAGAGGGUGAUCGGCCACAUUGGGACUGAGACACGGCCCAAACUCCUACGGGAGGCAGCAGUAGGGAAUCUUCCGCAAUGGACGAAAGUCUGACGGAGCAACGCCGCGUGAGUGAAGAAAGGUUUUCGGAUCGUAAAACUCUGUUGUCAGAGAAGAACAAGUUGGAGAGUAACUGCUCCAGCCUUGACGGUAUCUGACCAGAAAGCCACGGCUAACUACGUGCCAGCCGCUGC